Molecule: ribosomal RNA, 495 nt
Filed under: Candidozyma auris
Lineage: Eukaryota; Fungi; Ascomycota; Pichiomycetes; Serinales; Metschnikowiaceae
Description: [Candida] auris partial large subunit ribosomal RNA
Rfam family: Eukaryotic large subunit ribosomal RNA
Source: RNAcentral
AGGAUGCUCAGUACGGCGAGUGAGCGGCAAGAGCUCAACUUUGGAAUCGCUCCGGCGAGUUGUAGUCUGGAGGUGGCCACCACGAGGUGUUCUAGCAGCAGGCAAGUCCUUUGGAACAAGGCGCCAGCGAGGGUGACAGCCCCGUACCUGCUUUUGCUAGUGCUUCCUGUGGCCCACCGACGAGUCGAGUUGUUUGGGAAUGCAGCUCUAAGUGGGUGGUAAAUUCCAUCUAAGGCUAAAUAUUGGCGAGAGACCGAUAGCGAACAAGUACAGUGAUGGAAAGAUGAAAAGCACUUUGAAAAGAGAGUGAAACAGUACGUGAAAUUGUUGAAAGGGAAGGGCUUGCACCCAGACACGGUUUCGGCCGGGCCAGCAUCAAGUAGAACGGGGUUAAAAGACUUGGGGAAUGUAGCUACUUCGGUAGUGUUAUAGCCCUUGGUGAUGACCCCUGUUUUGCUUGAGGACAGCGGUCUCUAGGAUGCUGGCAUGCCUCGG